AAAAGUAAAAAGACAGAAAUGCUGAAACCUAAUACAUUGGAAAAACAAUAACAUAUCAAACUCAAUAUUUAAAUUCUCAUAAUUAACAGAAAUGAUGUAUAUUUCCUGAUGAUAUAUUUUCAUUGACAACUAUAGUGUAUAACAGAGUAAACAAAGUACAAUCAAGUUUAAGUUACACUUCACUCACUCUUAGUCCACUGUC
Long non-coding RNA from Etheostoma spectabile (orangethroat darter), 202 nucleotides. RefSeq lists it as uncharacterized. The record is from RefSeq and is a predicted model, not a curated record. NCBI's taxonomy places the organism in Eukaryota, Metazoa, Chordata, Actinopteri, Perciformes, Percidae. The transcript has 3 exons.